RNAcentral lists this ribosomal RNA (254 nucleotides) under uncultured bacterium. Its description in RNAcentral is "partial 16S ribosomal RNA". It matches the Rfam family "Bacterial small subunit ribosomal RNA", at positions 524 to 776 of the family's 1533-position model. The record is from RNAcentral.
UACGGAGGGGGCAAACGUUGUUCGGAAUUACUGGGCGUAAAGGGCGCGCAGGCGGCUGCUCAAGUCAGGCGUGAAAGGCCUGGGCUCAACCCGGGAAUUGCGCUUGAGACUGGGCUGGCUUGAGUGCGGGAGAGGAUGGUGGAAUUCCCAGUGUAGAGGUGAAAUUCGUAGAUAUUGGGAAGAACACCGGUGGCGAAGGCGGCCAUCUGGACCGCAACUGACGCUGAGGCGCGAAAGCGUGGGGAGCAAACGGG